This 165-nucleotide non-coding RNA is filed under the name bovine gut metagenome. The record is from RNAcentral.
GGCUUUAUAGUCCGAACAAGGAUUAAUAGGGAAUCGGGUGCAAAUCCCGAGCAGUUCCCGCUACUGUAAGUUCUGAAAGUUCUUCCGGCAUUCAGAUGCCACUGGGUCAAAAGCCCGGGAAGGCGCCGGAAGAUGAACGAGCCAGGAGACCUGCCUUUGACUAAU